UGGUAUGUACUAGCCUGCCGAUUCCUCCUUCUUGUAGAACCGUAAUGCCAUUAAUUUGGUGUUGCGGGGAAACAGGACUGUUACUUUGAAAAAAUUAGAGUGUUUAAAGCAGGCUAGCGCCUGAAUACAUUAGCAUGGAAUAAUGAAAUAGGACGUUCGAACCUAUUUUGUUGGUUUCUAGGAUCGACGUAAUGAUUAAUAGGGAUAGUUGGGGGCAUUAGUAUUCAAUUGUCAGAGGUGAAAUUCUUGGAUUUAUUGAAGACUAACUACUGCGAAAGCAUUUGCCAAGGAUGUUUUCAUUAAUCAAGAACGAAAGUUAGGGGAUCGAAGACGAUCAGAUACCGUCGUAGUCUUAACCAUAAACUAUGCCGACUAGGGAUCGGAUGAUGUUAAUUCUUUAAUGACUCAUUCG
Molecule: ribosomal RNA, 412 nt
Filed under: uncultured Glomeromycotina
Lineage: Eukaryota; Fungi; Glomeromycota
Description: SSU rRNA
Rfam family: Eukaryotic small subunit ribosomal RNA
Source: RNAcentral